Molecule: ribosomal RNA, 403 nt
Filed under: uncultured bacterium
Lineage: Bacteria
Description: partial 16S ribosomal RNA
Rfam family: Bacterial small subunit ribosomal RNA
Source: RNAcentral
AUUGAACGCUGGCGGCCGGCCUAACCCAUGCAAGUCGAGCGAGCGGCGGACGGGUGAGUACUGUAGGGGGACUGCCCGAGAGAGGGGGAUAACUACUGGGAACGGUGGCUAAUAACGCAUACUAUAGGAUACCCCAUAUGGGAUUGGCGAGUAGGUGGGGUAAAGGAUCACCUAGGCGACGAUCUCUAGCUGGUCUGGGAGGAUGAUCAUCCACAAUGGUGCUUGUACAAGGCCCCGACCCCUACGGAGGCAGCAGUGGGGAAUAUUGCACAAUGGGCGCACGCCUUAUGCAGCCAUGCCGCGUGUAUGAAGAAGGCCUUAGGGUUGUAAAGUACUUUCAGCGGGGAGGCGUUACCCGCAGAAGAAGCACAGGCUAACUCCGUGCCAGCAGCCGCGGUAAUUC